This 469-nucleotide ribosomal RNA is filed under the name uncultured bacterium. RNAcentral's name for it is "partial 16S ribosomal RNA". It matches the Rfam family "Bacterial small subunit ribosomal RNA", at positions 28 to 507 of the family's 1533-position model. The record is from RNAcentral.
GACGAACGCUGGCGGCGUGCUUAACACAUGCAAGUCGAACGGAAAGGCCCUGCUUGCAGGGUGCUCGAGUGGCGAACGGGUGAGUAACACGUGGGUGAUCUGCCCCUUACUUUGGGAUAAGCCUGGGAAACUGGGUCUAAUACUGGAUAGGACCAUGCUGUAGGUGGUGUGGUGGAAAGAUUAGUUUCGGUAAGGGAUGAGCUCGCGGCCUAUCAGCUUGUUGGUGGGGUAAUGGCCUAACAAGGCGUCGACGGGUAGCCGGCCUGAGAGGGUGGACGGCCACGUUGGGACUGCGACACGGCGCAGACGCCGACGGGAGGCAGCAGUGGGGAAUAUUGCACAACGGGCGCAAGCCUGAUGCAGCGACGCCGCGUGGGGGAUGACGGCCUUCGGGUUGUAAACUCCUUUCAGCCAUGACGAAGCCCUUGUGGUGACGGUAGUGGUAGAAGAAGCACCGGCUAACUACGUG